GCAUCGGUGGUUUAGUGGUAAAAUUAGCCGUUGCCACCCAGCAACAUCGGCUAGCCCCGGGUUCGAUUCCCGGCCGAUGCA
This 81-nucleotide transfer RNA is filed under the name Ophiobolus disseminans. It matches the Rfam family "tRNA". Rfam says of the family: Transfer RNA (tRNA) molecules are approximately 80 nucleotides in length. Their secondary structure includes four short double-helical elements and three loops (D, anti-codon, and T loops). Lineage: Eukaryota; Fungi; Ascomycota; Dothideomycetes; Pleosporales; Phaeosphaeriaceae. The record is from Rfam by way of RNAcentral.